RNAcentral lists this transfer RNA (92 nucleotides) under Flavonifractor sp. Its description in RNAcentral is "tRNA-Ser". It matches the Rfam family "tRNA". Rfam says of the family: Transfer RNA (tRNA) molecules are approximately 80 nucleotides in length. Their secondary structure includes four short double-helical elements and three loops (D, anti-codon, and T loops). The record is from RNAcentral. Lineage: Bacteria; Bacillati; Bacillota; Clostridia; Eubacteriales; Oscillospiraceae.
GGAGAAGUACCCAAGUGGCCGAAGGGGCUCCCCUGCUAAGGGAGUAGACGGUGUUGAGCCGUGCGAGGGUUCAAAUCCCUCCUUCUCCGCCA